GACGAACGCUGGCGGCGUGCUUAGCACAUGCAAGUCGAACGGAAAGGACCUGCUUUUGUGGGGUGCUCGAGUGGCGAACGGGUGAGUAACCCGUGAGUAACCUGCCCUUGACUUUGGGAUAACUUCAGGAAACUGGGGCUAAUACCGGAUAGGAGCUCCUGCUGCAUGGUGGGGGCUGGAAAGUUUCGGCGGUUGGGGAUGGACUCGCGGCUUAUCAGCUUGGUGGUGGGGUAGUGGCUUACCAAGGCAUUGACGGGUAGCCGGCCUGAGAGGGUGACCGGCCACAUUGGGACUGAGAUACGGCCCAGACGGCUACGGGAGGCAGCAGUGGGGAAUAUUGCACAAUGGGCGGACGCCUGAUGCAGCAACGCCGCGUGCGGGAUGACGGCCUUCGGGUAGUAAACCGCUUUCGCCUGUGACGAAGCGUGAGUGACGGUAAUGGGUAAAGAAGCACCGGCUAACUACGUG
Molecule: ribosomal RNA, 468 nt
Filed under: uncultured bacterium
Lineage: Bacteria
Description: partial 16S ribosomal RNA
Rfam family: Bacterial small subunit ribosomal RNA
Source: RNAcentral